RNAcentral lists this ribosomal RNA (253 nucleotides) under uncultured bacterium. Its description in RNAcentral is "partial 16S ribosomal RNA". It matches the Rfam family "Bacterial small subunit ribosomal RNA", at positions 524 to 776 of the family's 1533-position model. The record is from RNAcentral.
UACGUAGGGUGCGAGCGUUAAUCGGAAUUACUGGGCGUAAAGUGUGCGCAGGCGGCAGAGCAAGUCGAGUGUGAAAGCCCCGGGCUUAACUUGGGAAUUGCGCUCGAGACUACUUUGCUGGAGUGUGGCAGAGGAAGGUGGAAUUCCACGUGUAGCGGUGAAAUGCGUAGAGAUGUGGAGGAACACCAAUGGCGAAGGCAGCCAUCUGGACCGACACUGACGCUGAGGCGCGAAAGCGUGGGGAGCAAACAGG